GCAAGGUGCUUUUUCAGCUGCUGCCUCUAUCUUGCCAAUGCCAUCACCAACUGAAAAGCCUAGCUACAUUGUCAUUGAUGUACACUCUGUUGUUAUGAAGUUUUUUUUUUCAUUCUGAACCUCCUUUGUCUCUUUCGUUUGUCCAAGGUGGUUGUCAACUAUGCCAAGUCAGGCUUGGAGGCUGAGAAAGUGUGCAGAGAGGCGAGCCGAUUACGUUACAAUUUCAUGCAAAACCAUGGCAGAUGAAUACAGCUCGUCACUUUUUUCUUUGUCAUGUGUUGGUUUGUGCUUUCAUGAUUGCAUCGAAAUCGGAUGGGUGCAGAUUGAGGAGUCUGGUGGCACGGCGUUCAGCUUCGCCGCUGACAUCUCCUGCGAAGCAGAGGUUGAAUCCAUGAUGAGAACUCUGAGUUGGUCUUCUCUCUAGCCACAUCUAUGCUACAUAUAUAGCAAUCUGAUCAAGUGCAUGAAUCCUUAAUACCACUAUGUGAUGAUUUGCAUCUCUGCCACAGGUAAUUAAUGCUUGGGGAACUCUGGACGUGCUGGUAAACAAUGCAGGUUAUGGACAAGAGAAGAGAAAGAGAUAGCCAUUGUCACUCAUAGUGGUUUAUUGUGGCAUACCUUACGUAUGUAUAACAACGGGUGUCAUCCUACUGUAAGGUAUGAAGUGAGCAAGUAGAAGAAAUAAUGUAUAUGGAUGUAACCGGAUGUAGCUGUGUAUGGAUGUAAUAAAGGAAUAGAAGAAAUUUUGAA
This is a long non-coding RNA of Panicum virgatum (switchgrass), 750 nucleotides long. RefSeq lists it as uncharacterized. The transcript is spliced from 3 exons. NCBI's taxonomy places the organism in Eukaryota, Viridiplantae, Streptophyta, Magnoliopsida, Poales, Poaceae. The record is from RefSeq and is a predicted model, not a curated record.